RNAcentral lists this non-coding RNA (60 nucleotides) under uncultured Mailhella sp. The record is from RNAcentral. Lineage: Bacteria; Pseudomonadati; Thermodesulfobacteriota; Desulfovibrionia; Desulfovibrionales; Desulfovibrionaceae.
AGCGAAACCGCCCUCUGGCGGUCGUCGAAGCGUGGCGGCUUCGGCCUGAUGAGCAGCCAC